GCAGAAUCAAAAUUAGUGUUUUACAAAAUUUGUGUUACAAGCCAAAUAAGAGAAUUACAUGCCAGGUCUGUAAAUCUUGGUAGAGACAGAGUUAUUUGCAUCUACUGUAAGCCAUGUGCAGACCAGCAAGCAUUUUCCUCCUAGGAACCACCUCACUCAGUUGAGGUGACUCUUCAGUUGCCACGGAGAAGUUAGAAACUGGAAUGGAAGCAGAUUCAAGUUACCAAGGUCACUGGUCUCAAAGGACUUGGCUAUGUCAUAGCCACUGACAGAUGAAGUGUGUAUAUUUGGUGAUCUGAUGGCU
This 304-nucleotide small nucleolar RNA is filed under the name Mus pahari (shrew mouse). The record is from RNAcentral. Lineage: Eukaryota; Metazoa; Chordata; Mammalia; Rodentia; Muridae.